Molecule: ribosomal RNA, 1044 nt
Filed under: Salmonella enterica
Lineage: Bacteria; Pseudomonadati; Pseudomonadota; Gammaproteobacteria; Enterobacterales; Enterobacteriaceae
Also listed under: 2 other names
Description: partial 23S ribosomal RNA
Rfam family: Bacterial large subunit ribosomal RNA
Source: RNAcentral
GAUUCGUCACACUAUCAUUAACUGAAUCCAUAGGUUAAUGAGGCGAACCGGGGGAACUGAAACAUCUAAGUACCCCGAGGAAAAGAAAUCAACCGAGAUUCCCCCAGUAGCGGCGAGCGAACGGGGAGGAGCCCAGAGCCUGAAUCAGCAUGUGUGUUAGUGGAAGCGUCUGGAAAGGCGCGCGAUACAGGGUGACAGCCCCGUACACAAAAGCGCAUGUGCUGUGAGCUCGAUGAGUAGGGCGGGACACGUGGUAUCCUGUCUGAAUAUGGGGGGACCAUCCUCCAAGGCUAAAUACUCCUGACUGACCGAUAGUGAACCAGUACCGUGAGGGAAAGGCGAAAAGAACCCCGGCGAGGGGAGUGAAAAAGAACCUGAAACCGUGUACGUACAAGCAGUGGGAGCACCCUUCGGGGUGUGACUGCGUACCUUUUGUAUAAUGGGUCAGCGACUUAUAUUCUGUAGCAAGGUUAACCGUAUAGGGGAGCCGGAGGGAAACCGAGUCUUAAUUGGGCGUUAAGUUGCAGGGUAUAGACCCGAAACCCGGUGAUCUAGCCAUGGGCAGGUUGAAGGUUGGGUAACACUAACUGGAGGACCGAACCGACUAAUGUUGAAAAAUUAGCGGAUGACCUGUGGCUGGGGGUGAAAGGCCAAUCAAACCGGGAGAUAGCUGGUUCUCCCCGAAAGCUAUUUAGGUAGCGCCUCGUGAAUUCAUCUCCGGGGGUAGAGCACUGUUUCGGCUAGGGGGCCAUCCCGGCUUACCAACCCGAUGCAAACUGCGAAUACCGGAGAAUGUUAUCACGGGAGACACACGGCGGGUGCUAACGUCCGUCGUGAAGAGGGAAACAACCCAGACCGCCAGCUAAGGUCCCAAAGUCAUGGUUAAGUGGGAAACGAUGUGGGAAGGCCCAGACAGCCAGGAUGUUGGCUUAGAAGCAGCCAUCAUUUAAAGAAAGCGUAAUAGCUCACUGGUCGAGUCGGCCUGCGCGGAAGAUGUAACGGGGCUAAACCAUGCACCGAAGCUGCGGCAGCGAACGUAUCACC